AUGCUGAAGUAUGAAGUUGAUAUGGGAGACAAGGAAAUGCAACAGAUAGAAUGUUGCGUACUAGAAGAGUUUCCGCCAAAUCCCAAGCCAAAAGAACAUAUUAUGCAUGCGACAACCACAAAAGAGCAUGAAGUUAUUGAUAUAUCCAGUAAACACAAAAAGGUUAUGGAUGUCAGCAGACACGCCGUCGCCCAAGAAUCUUGCACAGACCACGAAGAAAAGGAUCCACCAAUAGAACCAGAUCAACCACCACCAGACGACAAGAUACCACACCAUUCUGAAGAGCAAACAAACGAGCAAAAUAUCAACAGCAAUACCCCGAGCACAGAUCAACUUGAACAAACAGGCACUGAUUUAAAAGAGGAUGGCACAAACAACGACGUACCAAAUACACAAGAAUAG
This 402-nucleotide ribosomal RNA is filed under the name Triticum aestivum (bread wheat). RNAcentral describes it as "partial small subunit ribosomal RNA". Lineage: Eukaryota; Viridiplantae; Streptophyta; Magnoliopsida; Poales; Poaceae. The record is from RNAcentral.